UGCAAUUCAGCGUCUUAUGGCUUCAGUCCUUCCUGGUGUGAGAGAUGCAGCCCUGCGAAAAAGUAUGCAGCUCCCUACUUCUCCGCCGUCUGCCGGGAUCCUCCAAACAGUUUGUUUUUAAUCCUGCGGUCUGAUCUAACCAGUACCCACAGGAAAAAAAAAUUUUUAAGUCAAUACAUUGACUUAUCAAUUCAGAGAUAAUGAGUGCUCACCAUUGUUUGAGUGUUCUGGAGAUUAAGCAGCAAGAACAGCAGGAAAUGCGUGAGGAAGACGACAUUCGAGUCGGAUGACAAAUUGAAGUGAAACGUGAGGAAGACCGCUGUAAGGAAGCUGCGAGAUUUACGGCAGAAUCAAGACAGAGUCUGCAGUGAGAAAUAAGGAAGCUCUUCCACAUGGUGUUGAAUGAAUGAGUGGACAGAUAAACAUAAACAUACGUGACAAAUAGCAAGAGACUCACCAAUUGAGACCAGAUGACUCAUAUUCUCCAGCAUCACAUCUCUAAAGAGUUUUCUCUGGGAUCCGUCCAGCAGGGUCCACUCUUCCUGGGUAAAGUCUACAGCGACAUCCUCAAAGGUCACUGAUUCCUAGAGCAUUAUGGACACAGUUUUCAGACAGGGCCAUUUCUGACAAUACUCAGGGGAGGACGGUAUAGGUGGCAGCACUAAGGAGAUGGGGGCUGCAUGUACAGAAAGCUGAAACAGGAGGCCGGGUUCCGUCAUCGUUUGCAGUGCACACCUGGACAUAUGAGUUCAAACAGACCCACGGGCCUACGCAUUCUAAAUACAUAACCUUCAUUAUAAAGAGUCCAAGGAAGAGGAGGCCAAGCUGGGAAGGAGAAAGGAGCCAUGAAACUCCAGUUGCCCGUAUUUUCCACAAACACUUGUUACGAAGCCCAAGUUCUGCACCUGGAAGUGACCCCCAGCACAACUGACAUAACAUGCACUGUGCUCCUAAGGACAUGUGGGGGCGGGGAGGAUGGCUCUCCACUACCAGGGAAAAACUUAACGCUCUGAUUCUUGUUGCUUGGAGAAAAGAUAGAAGUACCCUCAAUAUAGGAAGAAGAAUGUGAAAACCCACCUCUCUCCUGAUUCCAAACAGGAUUUCCGGCACCUGUCAUAGGUGGAACCCUUGGGGAAGUUCUCAGGCUACGGUAUUAGUUUGUGUCCUAACUAGCACAUCCCCUGGCUCCACCUCCGCCCUCUGCUAUCUCACUCCAUCCCUCCUCUUCCCCGCCCUCAGCCCUCUGGAUUCCGUAUCAAUCAGGUCUCCUCCAAGAAGGGUCUCCAGCAAUAUCACUCCCUCAACAUUGACCUCUGGAUUUGUUCUGAGUGGGUUUGGUUAUGAAACAACAGAAUGAAAAAUGCAGUUUUAUGGGAAGGUUCAUCAAUUCAGUGACCUCAUUCUGAGGAUCAAUGACACCCAUGCCACAUAUUUAACCCCUAAGAUCCCCUGCAUCAGAGAACUGUAGGAACAUGUGGGCUACAGCACCACCGUCAUGUCCAACAACCUUUACGAGGUAGCUCCCAAAAUUAUACAAUGAAAUGAUUUUAGGAUGGCAUUUAUUUGCUCCAACUAAAGUUGUAGAAAGUUGUUCAUGGAUAUCUGCAUGGGCUGCAACUUUCCUGCAUUUCAUGCUUUGAUUUUCUGUGUGUAUCUGCGAAAGCAUUUAUAUUGUAAAUCUGCCCUAAAACAUCCAGAGUAAGUAUAUUUCAUGGAGAAAUGAUAAUAAUGAGUCACAAACAGAAGCAAGUUUAACCCACCCAUUUGUAUCUCACAUCAGACGAUAGUUUUGUUUUAUAGGACUCUGUGCUUGCAAAUUCACACACAGUUCACUUAUUCCUCAAGAUAAUGCUGCUGGUUAGGAUUUGCAUUAAUUUAAUUAACGUCAUCAUCAGAGGCCCAAGAAACCUUAGUAAUAGGACACCACUCUGCAUACCAGCCUGCAUACACAUAAGCAUACAUUAGAAAGUGGUAUAAGUAGAAUUUGAAUUUUCCUUCCCUGCCUCCUCAUACCAAAUUCUUUAGGCGUCAUGCGUCACGCCUAGAUUUUACCUGGAAUAGUACUGCUAAUACUGACCAUCAGACGACCCACCGUUUUUAUAACUUCUCUCCUUUUUUCACAAAAUUUGUACCUGUGUCCAUGUUUUCUACCACAAAAGAACAUGGCGCUGCCAGAAUUCCUAAACAUCAGCCUCCAGCCCUCCUCAUUUUCACUGCCCAGUUUACUUCUGUCAUCCAUUUUGAUAGAUACUUGCCCAGACUAUACCUGGCUACUCCGUGGCUGUUCAGGCAGCACAGCAUCCGGGUACUGGCCCUCCCUGUGCGGCGGGGGGGGGCCGCGACUCAGAGCUGCGACAGUCUGUACCUGGCGACACCGCUCUUGCUUGGUGACUAGUACGUCUUCCCUGUUCCUUAACUGUCCCGAACCUUCUCUGUGCCUUUGCACUCACACAUUCUGAUUUCUCUCUUUCCAAAAAUGAGGUUUUUCCCACUAAGUAAAUGAAUCAUAUAACUUGAUGUUUUAUUUUCAGAGUGAAUGGUCACUGUAAGCAUUUAUUUUACUGUAAAUAGGGUAUUUUUCUAUUUAUUUUAUUGUGGAAAAAUUCAUACAUUUACCACCCUAAUCAUGUUUUUAGAUUUUCUUUUAAAAUAAUCUCUACAUCCAAUAUGGGGCUUGAACUUACAACCCUGAGAUCAAGAGUCACGUGCUGCACUGACGGACUUCACUCCACGCCAGGCACCCCUCCUUCUAAGCACCGUUAAGUGCAUGGUCCGGUGGUGUUGAAUCCCUUCCUAAUGCUGUGCCACCAUCACCACCGUCUAUCCCCAGAACUCUUCCAACCUUGCAAACCUGCAAACUGGUUCCCGUAAGCCACUCCCAGUCCGCUUCCCCACCCUCACCCUCUGACAACCAUGGAAUUUCCACUGUCUCUAAAGAGUGUAUGUUUUAAAGUGAUGGUAAAAGGAAAUUUUUUUUUUAAUAUUAAGACAUUCCUUUAUAGAAUAUAUUAUCUUGGAAGAAAAGUCAGGCGAUGUAUUUUCCUUUUAGGCAGGAUGUCGUAAGAAAUACUUUGUCGUUUUCUCAACAUUUUAAUCCUCUGACAGCAAAAGAUCUUUACUAUAUACUAUUUUAGUGGAAAACCGUUAGUUGACGAACAUUUUAAUUUUCAUGUAUCUUUGAUAUGUUCUGUCUUUUCAACCUAUUUACUGCAACAUCUGAGCAUCUGAGAGCAAGUGACGAACUCCUUUUGUCAUUAAUAAAUAUAGGUUUCAAGGGG
Long non-coding RNA from Suricata suricatta (meerkat), 3278 nucleotides. RefSeq lists it as uncharacterized. The transcript is spliced from 2 exons. The record is from RefSeq and is a predicted model, not a curated record. Lineage: Eukaryota; Metazoa; Chordata; Mammalia; Carnivora; Herpestidae.